UUUUGGUUUUUUUUAACAGAAAAAAAUGUCGAAACAAAAACGGAAAAAAAUGUAAUUAAAAAUAAACGGUGACACAGUUAUAUAUGUACAUAAAUAAUUAAAUAAAUAAAUAACAACUUGCGGCUGUCAUAGUAGUGGUGAAUUUCUUGAUUUUUUAUCAAAAGUUACAAAAAAUAUUUCUUCCGAUAUAUGGGCAUAUAUCCAUCAACACUCAUACAUACUUAUUUAUCAUGCAAAAUCAAUAUGAUUACAAUUAUAUAUAAAGUUAUAUAUAUAGUAUCAAUCAAUAUCAUCCAUGUUUUUUCUGAUCAUAAGAAUGUAAUGGUUUUUUAUAACGAACAAAGAUUUCCUUUUUGAAAAUCUCAAAACGUUUACUAUUGAAGGUAUUCUGCUGUUCACGCCAUGAUGGACGAGCAUUUUUCUUUUGUAAACCCCAAUGGCAGGUGAAUACAGGAGUCAAGACAUAGAAUGAGUAACCAGAAACAUACAUCUCGUAGACCUUCAAUCAGAAACACACACAAAGGCCAAUAUUAAAAUUGAAAUGGACAAACCGUCAGCAAGGAAAAGGGUUCCAGCAAAAUGUGUGACACAUACAUCUCUUGUUGCUUCCAUGAUUCCUAUUACUCCUUGUGUUCGCCAUACUAUUGUUGUUCUCACAGUCACGUAAAGCUGUACUGUCGUUGCAGUCGUCACCGUCAUUGUUACUGUUAUUGCUGGAAGAGAAAAUGUUUGUUGUAAAAAUCUUAAAAUUUGGAAUGAUGAUGUGAAACGUUUAGAAAUGUCUUCUUUUUAAUUUUCUUUUUUUAAACAUUGAAAAACGCUCUGUAAAAUUUGUAUUUAUUAAGUUAAACUAUAUCGAUAAAAGAAACUUUUAUCUAUAAUUAUUAAUAUAAUCAAUAAAACUCUUAAAAUGAAAACAGAAAUAAGAAAUAGAAUACCAUUCUAAACAAAAGUUGAAUUAAUUUCGUAAUUGUUUUGUGUUACGGAAUUGUAAACAUUUCGUUUGGAAUAUGUGGCAGGUUACACUUUGCCUACUGGAUUUAUGAAAGAUCCUCGUAGAAGUAGCAUAAUUUUUAGGUCUUGUUUUAUCUGUUACAACAAAAAAAUUUUAAAAAUUGUUCAAUUCACAAAUGAUGUCGUGUCGUUGAAACGUUGUAAUUUUUUGAAACAAAAACAAAUCAAUAAUAAAAAAUUACAACAUACUACGUUACAACCGUACAACACCGAUUGUGAAUUUGACAAAUGUUAUAACAUAUGGGGAAUUUAUUACAGAAUUCUGCAAAUACAUAUGUAACCAUUCCAAUCGUUAGAAGUGAUAUUUUUACAUUAUCACUCCUAACGAUUGUAAUUAUUGUUAUGAAUUGCAUUUCUUUCAUUUGAGUAGUCGGUUUUUUACUUUAUAAAUAUUUAUUUUAUAGUUGAGUCAUCCUAUUAUUUUAAAAUUUUUCAAUAUGAGAGUCAUUCUGUUUUGUUUUCUAUUAAGAUAAUUAUUACUCGAACGUUUCGUACGAUGACUUCAGUUUCUCGUAACGUAACGAAAUAUGAGUUAACUUUAUCUUAUUAAUGAAAAAAUAUAUCAAAAAAUUAACCAAUGACCUUGCAAUUAACAAAGUAUUUUAGCCCAUUUUUUUGUUUUUUAAUUAUAGAUUAAAAAAGAAAAAUUUUUAAGUAAAUUCUAAAUAAAAGAGAUAUUUUAUAAUUUCAAUUUCUUUACUCCAAUAUAGUCUAAAAUCAUCUAAAAAUGUCUACUAUUUUAUGCCUUUAAACACAUAUAUUUUAAAUAGAUAUCAGAUACUUAGUGAUUCUAAGUACAUCAUGAUAGAUAUAUUUAAUAUAUUUCUUCCCAAAAAUAUAUCUUUCAGAUAAUUUCAAUAUAAAUUUAAUAAAAUGUCAAAUAUCUAAUGUUGUUUUGGCGAUGCCAACCUUCAUGUAGACAUCAAAUUAUUUUCGAAUUGCUAACUUGUGUGUUGACAUAAAAAUACUUGGCUAUUUGAUUG
RNAcentral lists this long non-coding RNA (1997 nucleotides) under Lucilia cuprina (Australian sheep blowfly). Its description in RNAcentral is "uncharacterized LOC124420539, transcript variant X4". The record is from RNAcentral. Lineage: Eukaryota; Metazoa; Arthropoda; Insecta; Diptera; Calliphoridae.